Molecule: long non-coding RNA, 1009 nt
Organism: Nomascus leucogenys (northern white-cheeked gibbon)
Lineage: Eukaryota; Metazoa; Chordata; Mammalia; Primates; Hylobatidae
Exons: 2
Source: RefSeq, a predicted model, not a curated record
UAUUCAUUCUUUCCAGAAAGGCGCCACAUGCAUAUUUCUGCCGUGGCCCCAGAUCCUCCCCUCACCGCCGUUUUGAGCGUUUACACUCAUUACCCAGGUCCGUCUGGGAGACCUGCCGGGCUCCUGCCCUCCUGGCCCGCAGCCUCCUGGCCAAAAUCCUCCCGGGACACCCCACCUGCACUGCUGUGAACGGACCUCCACCCGCCUCCCCAGACCCGCAGCCCCCACCCCGCUCCCUCAAGGUUCUGGGGUGAAGGGGUCUGAAUGGCACUAGGGGAGGCGGCAGGGCGGGCCUGCCCUACCUGCGCCCGAGCACUGCUGAGACAACAUCCCUUCCAGCGCCGCCACGUAGUCCAGCCCCAGCCAGUCGCGGUCCUGGAAGCACCGCAAGCAGACCUGCUUCUCACUGGCCUCAGGCAGGGUCACCCGCCCGGUGCCGCUUGCUGCAAAUUGCUUUACAUACAGUGACCCAAAGAGCAAGUAAUUUCAGGGCCCCACGACUCUGAAUGGAAGUCAUAAGCUUGACAGCUGAUUGGCCUCUGUCACCCAAGCCAGUGUGGGGACACUGGGCCCGCAUGUGCCACGGGAAGAGGCGUUCAGAAGCACUGUGGUGCUCCAGCUCCUGGAUGCAGGCCUGAGGCCUGAGAUGUCCAGGAAGAAAGACCCAGAAACGAGGGAUCGUGUGGGUGGGAUUCCUGAGUGUUCUGCUAGGGCCUGCUCAGCGUUUCUUGGCCUUUUCCAUAAGGCUGUCUCACUCUAUCUUACAGAUAUCUCCCCACAAACCUAAACAAUUUCGAGAGGGACUUGUGUUCUGCAACCAGUCACAGAAUAUCGGGUGAGCUGGGCGUGUCUUCACUGACCCACCCGCCCAGGGAUGCUGCACUCCUCUCCACCCUGCUCAGAAUCACUGGAAUGUGGCUACAGCCCUAAAAGAGCUACUAAAAAGACCAGAAGUAGUAUGAGAACUUACGAAUACAAAUAUAAAUAAAGGACAGCUGGAGAACAUGCA